This 510-nucleotide ribosomal RNA is filed under the name uncultured bacterium. Its description in RNAcentral is "bacterial SSU rRNA". It matches the Rfam family "Bacterial small subunit ribosomal RNA", at positions 791 to 1300 of the family's 1533-position model. The record is from RNAcentral.
UGGUCUACGCAGUGAACGAUGGUUACUAGCUGUUUGGAUCAAUUGCGAUCUGAGUGGUUAAGCGAAAGUGAUAAGUAACCCACCUGGGGAGUACGUUCGCAAGAAUGAAACUCAAAGGAAUUGACGGGGGCCCGCACAAGCGGUGGAGCAUGUGGUUUAAUUCGAUGAUACGCAAGGAACCUUACCAGGGCUUAAAUGCAGUUUGACAGGGGUGGAAACAUCUUUUUCUUCGGACAAAUUGCAAGGUGCUGCAUGGUUGUCGUCAGCUCGUGCCGUGAGGUGUCAGGUUAAGUCCUAUAACGAGCGCAACCCCUUUGGUUAGUUACCAGCAUGUAAUGAUGGGGACUCUAGCCAUACUGCCAGUGUAAACUGUGAGGAAGGUGGGGAUGACGUCAAAUCAUCACGGCCCUUACGUCCUGGGGCUACACACGUGCUACAAUGGUAGGGGACAGAGAGCAGCCACUACGUGAGUAGGGAGCGAAUCUACAAACCCUAUCACAGUUCGGGAUC